RNAcentral lists this ribosomal RNA (1361 nucleotides) under uncultured bacterium. Its description in RNAcentral is "bacterial SSU rRNA". It matches the Rfam family "Bacterial small subunit ribosomal RNA", at positions 28 to 1381 of the family's 1533-position model. The record is from RNAcentral.
AUUGAACGCUGGCGGCAGGCCUAACACAUGCAAGUCGAGCGGUAGCACAGAGAGCUUGCUCUCGGGUGACGAGCGGCGGACGGGUGAGUAAUGUCUGGGAAACUGCCUGAUGGAGGGGGAUAACUACUGGAAACGGUAGCUAAUACCGCAUAACGUCGCAAGACCAAAGUGGGGGACCUUCGGGCCUCAUGCCAUCAGAUGUGCCCAGAUGGGAUUAGCUAGUAGGUGGGGUAAUGGCUCACCUAGGCGACGAUCCCUAGCUGGUCUGAGAGGAUGACCAGCCACACUGGAACUGAGACACGGUCCAGACUCCUACGGGAGGCAGCAGUGGGGAAUAUUGCACAAUGGGCGCAAGCCUGAUGCGGCCAUGCCGCGUGUGUGAAGAAGGCCUUCGGGUUGUAAAGCACUUUCAGCGGGGAGGAAGGCGAUAAGGUUAAUAACCUCAUCGAUUGACGUUACCCGCAGAAGAAGCACCGGCUAACUCCGUGCCAGCAGCCGCGGUAAUACGGAGGGUGCAAGCGUUAAUCGGAAUUACUGGGCGUAAAGCGCACGCAGGCGGUCUGUCAAGUCGGAUGUGAAAUCCCCGGGCUCAACCUGGGAACUGCAUUCGAAACUGGCUGGCUAGAGUCUUGUAGAGGGGGGUAGAAUUCCAGGUGUAGCGGUGAAAUGCGUAGAGAUCUGGAGGAAUACCGGUGGCGAAGGCGGCCCCCUGGACAAAGACUGACGCUCAGGUGCGAAAGCGUGGGGAGCAAACAGGAUUAGAUACCCUGGUAGUCCACGCCGUAAACGAUGUCGAUUUGGAGGUUGUGCCCUUGAGGCGUGGCUUCCGGAGCUAACGCGUUAAAUCGACCGCCUGGGGAGUACGGCCGCAAGGUUAAAACUCAAAUGAAUUGACGGGGGCCCGCACAAGCGGUGGAGCAUGUGGUUUAAUUCGAUGCAACGCGAAGAACCUUACCUGGUCUUGACAUCCACAGAACUUUCCAGAGAUGGAUUGGUGCCUUCGGGAACUGUGAGACAGGUGCUGCAUGGCUGUCGUCAGCUCGUGUUGUGAAAUGUUGGGUUAAGUCCCGCAACGAGCGCAACCCUUAUCCUUUGUUGCCAGCGGUCCGGCCGGGAACUCAAAGGAGACUGCCAGUGAUAAACUGGAGGAAGGUGGGGAUGACGUCAAGUCAUCAUGGCCCUUACGACCAGGGCUACACACGUGCUACAAUGGCAUAUACAAAGAGAAGCGACCUCGCGAGAGCAAGCGGACCUCAUAAAGUAUGUCGUAGUCCGGAUUGGAGUCUGCAACUCGACUCCAUGAAGUCGGAAUCGCUAGUAAUCGUAGAUCAGAAUGCUACGGUGAAUACGUUCCCGGGCCU